This 253-nucleotide ribosomal RNA is filed under the name uncultured bacterium. RNAcentral describes it as "partial 16S ribosomal RNA". It matches the Rfam family "Bacterial small subunit ribosomal RNA", at positions 524 to 776 of the family's 1533-position model. The record is from RNAcentral.
UACGUAGGUGGCGAGCGUUGUCCGGAUUUACUGGGCGUAAAGAGCGCGCAGGCGGUCGUACAAGUCGCGUGUGAAAGCCCCCGGCUCAACUGGGGAGGGUCACGCGAUACUGUUCGACUCGAAGGCAGGAGAGGGAAGCGGAAUUCCCGGUGUAGUGGUGAAAUGCGUAGAUAUCGGGAGGAACACCGGUGGCGAAGGCGGCGAUCUGGGUAGAUACUGACGCUGAGGUGCGAAAGCGUGGGGAGCAAACAGG